UUNUUUUUUUUUAAUGCAUUACACAUUGUUCUGCACCUCAAUUUUUUUUCACUCAACACUGUAUCAAGGCAUUUGUUCCAGAUCAUCACACUCUUCCACUGCUCUGUACUAGUCCAGUGCAAGCAGGUCCCACCAUUCAUGUCAGUCCUAACUUGUCGACAUCUCGUCUGUUCCCAGUUGUCUGUGGCCAUGAAAGUUUCUCUCUAUGGAUCUUUAUACAUUUACAGGGGCCUAGAUUCCUUGAAGAGUAAUUUCUGAGGCAAAGGGAAUAUGUGCUUUGCAUUUUGAUAGAUAUCAGCCAAUAGUCCUCUAAAAAAUUUUACCAGGUUGGACCAAAAGCCACUUUUAGGUCUUUGCCCAUCUAAAGGAUAAAAAAUAGUAUCUCACUGUAAUUUACGUUUUUAAUUAUGAGAGAUGUUAGCAUCUUUUUCCUGUUUCCAAAUCACUGUAUUUCUUUUUCCCUUACCUCUCUUCAACAGUGUUUAAGGCGCCCUUGUACAGCCACAUAGGCAAAGUAUCUGGGACCUGCGGAAUUUUCAAGAGCCUGUAAAAAAAGUUUGAGACCUGGGGUGGGGGUGGGGGAUGUAUUGACUUGCAAAUAUUUUUAAAAGACCAAAAAGCUGAACCCAAAAUGGUAUAAUGUAAUCUCAACCAAACAUAAUCUUACGGCAAGCUCAUUAACUGGAAACUGGAAUUCAUGAACAUUUCAUUACAUUUUAAAGCAAUCUGUUGGUUUAGAUGUUCUCAUUUCAAAAAAAUCCCAAGAAUGCAUGAUGCUUUUCAAGAAAUUCAAGUCCAUUUUCAUUUAAACGCAUUAACUGUAGUUGAAUAAUUUCACAAUCAUAAUUAAUUGAAAACGCUUUUUAAAAAUUUACCAUAACGUGGGAGUUCCCUGGUGACUGGUUCAGUGGUUAAAGGAUCCAGCGUUGUCACUGCUGUGGUCAGGUCACUGCUGAGGGGCAGAUUCAAUCCCUGGCCUGCCCUGGAACUUCCGCAUGCCGCAGGUGCAGCCAAAAAAAAUAAAGAAUCAUAAAAUGACAUUCAAUGUGGAAUUAGAGUGCAUUUUAAUAUGUUUCAUGUGAUUUGGACGGGGCCUCCCAAAUUAAGUGCAUCAAGGGCCAAAAGUGGUUUUAUUUAAAAGGCCUGUAAACCUCCGAACCAGACAGACAAGGUCUCAGUCUCAGGAAAUUUCUAAUCAAAGAACACGCUGACCUUCUCAGCAAAAGUAGGAACGAGUAAAGUGGAUCAGAUCUGAGUCUGGAGCUCGCUGAGGACCCCUGGCUUCUCUCCCAACCCCCUGACUAAAAACUGAGAGUUUUUACAGAGAAAAAACUCUCUCCUGUGUCACACCCAUCCCCAGCCUGGUGACUCAGCGCUGGACAUGGGGAUUUUGGAAAGCUCAGUGGGGUGAUGGAGCGGGGAAAGACGGGGUAGAGGUGAUGCUCUCUCUGCUCUCAGGACCAGCCUGGGGUGGGGGUAGGGAGCAGCAGGACAGACAUAGGGAGGGAAAGAGACAAAUUGUCCCCAGAUGACAUUUUGAGACAGCAGAACAAAAUGUGUUUGGCUCUUCCCUACCCUCUCCCUCUUUUAAAGAGAAAUAGGACUCAGCCCUUGAAAGGGACCAUCUGGGCGUCUAAGUCACAGGUGCGAAGGUUUUAGGACUGGGAGGUGAGCAAUUCAGCACCUCCCCCCUCCUCCCCGUCUGCCUCCCCUCCCCAUCCAGCGGAGGAAAGGCAGGGAGGACCUGGGGGAAGCCGCGCUGGAAUCUCCUGCGUGCCCGCGCGUGCCCACUCCCCUAGUACUGUCUCUAUUCCCAGCCACUGGGGUGAGAAUUGGCACAAUGACACGCCAUAAAGUCCAAUCUAUCGAACCCAAUUGAAUUGAAAGGCACGGUGGAGUCAGAUGAGGGGUCUGAUUUCCUCCCCCUCAUGUUUGUUCUCAGCCCGCUGUGUGGCCUUGAGCAACGGCUGCCGCCUCUGAGCUGUUUCCGCAUUUGUACAGAGAGCGCCAGAAAACUUGGUCUGCGGGGACAUUAUGCAGACCCAGUGAACUGAAAUCGGCAAGGCAUUUAGCUCUGGGCCGGGCCUUUUUAAUUCUUACCCUUUGGCUGCAGUGGUGGGAAAGCAAAUGUUUGCCAGGUAGGGGGAGGUGGGUGGAGCUGAUGGUGGCCCCUCGCCAGCCAGAGAGGACUUUGAGCUUGCCCCGGAGUGCCAGGAGGGAGCCACUGAAGGUUCUGCAGCGAGGGAGGGGGCCAGAUCCCGGGAGGGGCCGGGAUCCUCGGCCCUCACCCAGAUCCAAAACCCCGCCUCUGGUGUUCUCUCUUCCUCCAAUGCACCCCCUCCCACAGCCCAGGGCCACAGCUCUGCUCCCACCAAGACCGAGUCUGGGAGAACAGCAGAGUGAGCCCCAGGACAAAGCCUAACUAAGGCUAUGCCUGAGCCCGGGCUUGAACCCCUACUCUGAGCCCCCCUCACUGGGUGUUUUGGAUUCCUCUGGGCCUCAGCCUUCUCCCUGCAAAGUGGGGCGACAACAGCGACCUCACGGGGUGGUGGGGAUGGUUAGUUGAGAUAAUAUGUAAAAGCACCUGGCGGCAUGCCUGCUGUACAGGUGGAGUUCAGUGUACGGUGCCAUUAACUGAGAAAGCGGACAGGGGAUCCAAAGGGAGAGAAUGAGGAUCAGAGACGGGGAAGAAUGACACACGGGCCCUUUGCCUCUCUGGAUGGUCCACCUGCAGCCAAGGAAAAAGCCCUUUGGGAGGAGGGGGUGAUUGGGGGGGCAGCUAUUGGGUAAGAGAGGAGGUCAUCCCUGGCCCGCUUCCCUCCUCUACUUCUACCUCCCGCCCAGCUUGGUCACCCAGUUUAGGGUGACAGGGCUGGGCAUGGUGGACCAGCAGCAAUCCUCCAGAUUCCAGAACUGGGCCUCCUGCAAAAGGUGGGUGAGGGUGUAAGGUGCUUCCAGGUGAUAAGAGAGCUGCAGGUGUCGGGCCAUGGGAGCUGGGAUUCCCCAUCCAUCACCCAUCAGGGCCCCAAGCCCAGCCCACCAGGCUUAACUGGAAGCCCGAGGCUGCUCCAUUUGCAGUGUGGGUCUGCGUGCAAGAAAGCUGGUAACACUGGCUGAGACCGGUUCACUCUCACCCACAGGCCAGCUGGGCCCUCCCCAGUGGCUGGGCACCUGAGCAGGUGUGUGUGUGGGGGGGCCUACAAGCUGUCACUUCUAAAUAUAGAGCCUGGCAGCCUGGGAGUCAGCCAGGUGCGGCUGCCACAUGGCCCCCCAAACUGGCUGAUACGCAUGUGCCCGCCAGUUCUGGGCCUGCACAGACACACAUCAAAACUGCCUCGCACAGACCCCCAGGGACCCACGGAUACCCCCAAAGACACACACUCAGCUUGGCAUGUACACGUCCCUGUCCUUGUUGAGGCCCCUUAUCCACACACACCCUCUCCCCACACUCAUACUCUGCAACGCUCACUGACACCGACCGGGCAGCCCCUGCUUGAACAACAGCCUCCUGAGGGCGGCAUCCCCCGUUCUUGUCCACUGCUGUCUCCUCUGCCUGUAACCGUGUCCAGCACAUACCAGGUGCCCAGAAACAAGGCCUGUCCUCCUCUGGCCUGGCCAAUCCCCCAUAGCCAGAGUCCAAGCCAGGCUGAGGACCUGAGCGGGAGGGUGGAGAGGGCAGCCCAGGGAAAGAAGUAGCUUCGAACCCCUAUUUAGGAGGAUGUGGGAAUCAUUGUUUGCUACAGGACAAACCUCCCUGGAGGAGCCACCGCACCACGCUGGAGUUCUGGGUUGGGCCACAUCCCCAGAAAUCCACCAGGGGAGGGGAACACGUGACCCCUAUAAGGCCCUCCCCAGCCCCCUCCUCUGAAGGAGUGCCCCAUUUUAGGUGAUACCACCCCAUCUAGGAGCCCUCAGCUCUGCCCCCAUAGUGCUUGGGCUGGGCUUCCCACAGCCUGCACAUGGAUGUAACAGAGUGACACUUCAGGGGGAGUUCCCAUUGUAGCUCCGUAGGUUAAGAACCUGAUUAGUAUCCAUGAGGGUACAGGUUCAAUCCCCAGCCUCGCUCAGUUCACAGAUGUGGCUUGGAUCCGGUGUUACUCUGGCUGUGGCUGGCAGGUGCAGCUCCGAUUCAACCCCUAGGCUGGAAACUUCCAUAUGCUAAGGUGUGCCCUAAAAAGAAAAAAAAAAAGAAAAGGAAAAAAAUAAAAAAGAGUGAUGCCUGGGGACACAGGAGCAGAGGGGGGUGGUGGUCAGGGAGGACUCCCUGGAGGAGAGGAGCCUUGUACAGUGAGAGACAGGAGGGCCUUCUGGGAAGAUGGCUGGAAGAGGCAUCUGAGCAUCUCUGACUCCAGGACUGCUGAGGGAGCACCGUGACUGUGCUGGGACCUCACAAUUCCCAUGAGAUGAAGCGGAGGCUGAUUGGGCAGGCUGAGCACCAGGGAUGAGGAGGGGAUGCUGUGACCCCAGAGCGACUGAAGGUCGGGUGAGAUUUAUAGUCAGAGCCUGCAUCAGUAGACUGGAGAAGAAGGUGACUGAGGGGGGCAAGCUGAUAAAGGAGAGGACUAGGGACAGCACUAAGGACAGAUGAGUGGCCAAUGGAUGGACAUAUGCAUAGACUAGCAGAUGGACUGAAAGACACAGGAGCAUGAAUAGACAAAUGGAAAGACAGAAGUGGGUGGCUGGCCACUGGGGUCACUCUCUGAAGCCCCACAAGAGCCUGAAGACCCAGCUACUUCCCCUGCAGACCACUCCCACCCCAGCUCCAUUCCCUGUCUCCUUUCCCAGACCAGGUUCCCAGGGAGGCAGACACCUGCUUGGCCUGAUGCCCAGAGAUGCACUUUCCAGCCAAGUACAAGCCCAGAUAUGGAGUCACCUCCUGGUGUUCUUACCUGUGCAGGUGUGCAUAGGAUGGGGUGGGGUCAGCGCCAUAUCUAUGGGCUAAUACCUCCAAAAAUAGCCUCCCAGCAACUGGGGAGUACCCCAAUCAUGGCUCACGUGCGCGCACACACACACACACACACACACACACACACACACAGCCGCUGGCAGAAUCAACCCCAUAGACACUUGAUGCACACACAGGUGCAUUCACUGACACACUGGCACCCAAACACCAGUCCCCCAAACACCACAACUACCAAACUGCAUAGCAACAGAAUGAGCCAACCACAUGGUCUACAAUGUAUGGGGCCACCUGGCCCCUCAGAUACACCCCAACACCAUGCUGUCAUUAAUCUACAAAUGUGCAUUGAACAGCUUCUGGACCCAACCCUAUGGGAUUUCGGAGCACCUUCAAUAGCUCUUCCCAGAGAAAGCUGGACCCACAGGGUCCUUCAUGCUUCACCCUCCAACCCUGCCUCCUACCCUAGCACCUCACAUUUGCCCUCCAUCCAGCAACAUCUGACACCUUAGGGGGGUUCUCUCCUUUUCAUAUGCUUGGAUCCACAUUAUUCCUGCAACUAGGAACCCUUUCCCCAUUUCACUCCUGAACCCCACAUACCAGACCUAUCAUUCAAGACAGAUCUCUGCAUACCUAAAGUUUAACAGUGGGACACACAACAGGGCCUAAAUGUUUGUUGACUGACUGACCAACUUACCAGCUGGGUGAAAUCAUUAGGAAUAUAAAUCAGCUAAGAAUAGUGCAUAAUUAAAGUUCCCAUCAUGGCUCGGUGGUUAACAAACCCGACUAGUAGCCAUGAAGACGCGGGUUCAAUCCCUGGCCUUGCUCAGUGGGUUAAGGAUCCUACAUUGCUGUGAGCUGUGGUGUAGCUCACAGACAUGGCUCGGAUCCCUAGUAGUUGUGGCUGUGGUGCAGGCCGGCAGCUGUAGCUCCAAUUCGACCCCUUAGCCUGGGAACUUCCAUAUGCUGCAGGUAUGGUGCUAAAAAGACAAAAAAAAAAAAAAAAA
This 5907-nucleotide long non-coding RNA is filed under the name Sus scrofa (pig). Its description in RNAcentral is "lncRNA (ENSSSCG00050027124.1)". The record is from RNAcentral. Lineage: Eukaryota; Metazoa; Chordata; Mammalia; Artiodactyla; Suidae.